UACGUAGGGCGCAAGCGUUGUCCGGAAUUAUUGGGCGUAAAGAGCUCGUAGGCGGUUUGUCGCGUCUGCUGUGAAAACCUAAGGCUCAACCUUGGGCUUGCAGUGGGUACGGGCAGACUAGAGUGCGGUAGGGGUGACUGGAAUUCCUGGUGUAGCGGUGGAAUGCGCAGAUAUCAGGAGGAACACCGAUGGCGAAGGCGGCGAUCUGGGCAGAUACUGACGGCUGGAGGUGACGAAAGCGUGGGGAGCAAACAGG
Molecule: ribosomal RNA, 256 nt
Filed under: uncultured bacterium
Lineage: Bacteria
Description: partial 16S ribosomal RNA
Rfam family: Bacterial small subunit ribosomal RNA
Source: RNAcentral